CAGGGAAUAUUGCACAAUGGACGAAAGUCUGAUGCAGCGACGCCGCGUGAAUGAAGAAGGCCUUCGGGUUGUAAAAUUCUUUUCGGGGGGAAGAGGCAGGACGGUACCCUCGGAAUAAGCGUCGGCUAACUACGUGCCAGCAGCCGCGGUAAGACGUAGGACGCAAGCGUUAUCCGGAUUUACUGGGCGUAAAGCGUCUGUAGGCGGAAAGACAAGUUGGGCGUGAAAGCUCCGGGCUCAACCCGGAGAGUGCGUUCAAUACUGUCUAUCUAGAGGAGGUCAGAGGGGAGUGGAAUUUCAGGUGUAGCGGUAAAAUGCGCAGAUAUCUGAAGGAACACCAGUGGCGAAGGCGGCUCCCUGGGGCCCACCUGACGCUGAGAGACGAAAGCUAGGGGAGCGAACAGGAUUAGAGACCCUGGUAGUCCUAGCCAUAAACGAUGGAUGCUAGGUGUGGGACCGAGAAGGUUCUGUGCCGGAGCAAACGCGAUAAGCAUCCCGCCUGGGGAGUACGACCGCAAGGUUA
RNAcentral lists this ribosomal RNA (523 nucleotides) under uncultured bacterium. RNAcentral's name for it is "bacterial SSU rRNA". It matches the Rfam family "Bacterial small subunit ribosomal RNA", at positions 355 to 896 of the family's 1533-position model. The record is from RNAcentral.